RNAcentral lists this ribosomal RNA (381 nucleotides) under uncultured marine Chaetocerotaceae. RNAcentral describes it as "SSU rRNA". It matches the Rfam family "Eukaryotic small subunit ribosomal RNA", at positions 587 to 972 of the family's 1831-position model. Lineage: Eukaryota; Bacillariophyta; Thalassiosirophyceae; Chaetocerotales; Chaetocerotaceae. The record is from RNAcentral.
AGCUCCAAUAGCGUAUAUUAAAGUUGCUGCAGUUAAAAAGCUCGUAGUUGCAUUUCCGAGGCAAGGGAUUAGUCCGACCUUUGGUGGGUAUUUAAUCCUCUUGCCUCGUCCUUGAGUGGUGCUUCUUGGUAUUAAGUUAUCGAGGAGAUAGCCGCUCAUCGUUUACUGUGAGAAAAUUAGAGUGUUCAAAGCAGGCUUAUGCCGUUGAAUAUAUUAGCAUGGAAUAAUAAGAUAGGUCCUCGGUUCUAUUUUGUUGGUUUGAGAACCAAGGUAAUGAUGAAUAGGGACAGUUGGGGGUAUUCGUAUUCAGUUGUCAGAGGUGAAAUUCUUAGAUUUACGGAAGACGAACUACUGCGAAAGCAUUUACCAAGGAUGUUUUCA